GACGAACGCUGGCGGCGUGCUUAACACAUGCAAGUCGAACGAAAAGGCCCUGCUUUUGUUCGGUGCUCGAGUGGCGCACGCGUGAGUAACACGCGUGUAUCCUGCCCCUGACUUUCUGAUAUCUUCUCGAAACUCCGGCUCUUACCGCGUAUGAUCUCCUGCUGCAUGUUGGUGGUUGGUAAGUUUCGGCUGUUGGGGAUGGACUCGCUGGUUAUCCGCUUGUUGGUCGAGUAGUUGCUUACCAAGGGUGUGACGGGUAGCCGGCCUGAGAGGGUGGACGGGCACAAUGGGACUGAGAGACGGCGCAGAAGGGUACGGGAGGCAGCAGGGGGGAGUAUUGCACAGUGGGGGGAAGCCUGAUGUAGCAACGCCGCGAGCGUGAUGACGGGCUUCGGGGGAUGAACCGCUGUGGCAGGUGACGAAGAGGGAGUGACGGUAAUGGGUAAAGAAGCACCGGCUAACUACGUG
RNAcentral lists this ribosomal RNA (468 nucleotides) under uncultured bacterium. Its description in RNAcentral is "partial 16S ribosomal RNA". It matches the Rfam family "Bacterial small subunit ribosomal RNA", at positions 28 to 507 of the family's 1533-position model. The record is from RNAcentral.